ACUCCUGCGGGAGGCAGCAGUGGGGAAUAUUGCACAAUGGGCGCAAGCCUGAUGCAGCCAUGCCGCGUGUAUGAAGAAGGCCUUCGGGUUGUAAAGUACUUUCAGCGGGGAGGAAGGCGAUAAGGUUAAUAACCUUGUCGAUUGACGUUACCCGCAGAAGAAGCACCGGCUAACUCCGUGCCAGCAGCCGCGGUAAUACGGAGGGUGCAAGCGUUAAUCGGAAUUACUGGGCGUAAAGCGCACGCAGGCGGUCUGUCGAGUCGGAUGUGAAAUCCCCGGGCUCAACCUGGGAACUGCAUUCGAAACUGGCAGGCUAGAGUCUUGUAGAGGGGGGUAGAAUUCCAGGUGUAGCGGUGAAAUGCGUAGAGAUCUGGAGGAAUACCGGUGGCGAAGGCGGCCCCCUGGACAAAGACUGACGCUCAGGUGCGAAAGCGUGGGGAGCAAACAGGAUUAGAAACCCGUGUAGUCCCAUGAU
RNAcentral lists this ribosomal RNA (475 nucleotides) under uncultured organism. Its description in RNAcentral is "partial 16S ribosomal RNA". It matches the Rfam family "Bacterial small subunit ribosomal RNA", at positions 335 to 801 of the family's 1533-position model. The record is from RNAcentral.